This 411-nucleotide ribosomal RNA is filed under the name uncultured bacterium. RNAcentral describes it as "bacterial SSU rRNA". It matches the Rfam family "Bacterial small subunit ribosomal RNA", at positions 365 to 773 of the family's 1533-position model. The record is from RNAcentral.
UGGUCAAUGGACGCAAGUCUGAACCAGCCAUGCCGCGUGGAGGAUGAAGGUCCUCUGGAUUGUAAACUUCUUUUAUCUGGGACGAGACACUUCUUUUCUAAGAGGCCUGACGGUACCAGAUGAAUAAGCACCGGCUAACUCCGUGCCAGCAGCCGCGGUAAUACGGAGGGUGCAAGCGUUAUCCGGAUUCACUGGGUUUAAAGGGUGCGUAGGUGGGUAUGUAAGUCAGUGGUGAAAUCCCCGAGCUUAACUUGGGAACUGCCAUUGUUACUAUAUAUCUUGAAUACCGUAGAGGUGAGCGGAAUAUGUCAUGUCGCGUUGAAAUGCUUAGAUAUGACAUGGAACACCAAUUGCGAAGGCAGCUUACUAUGCGGUGAUUGACACUGAGGCACGAAAGCGUGGGUAGCAAAC